RNA transcript from Branchiostoma belcheri (Belcher's lancelet), 2819 nucleotides. It is a transcript of the gene named von Willebrand factor-like, with no coding region annotated. The transcript has 21 exons. The record is from RefSeq and is a predicted model, not a curated record. NCBI's taxonomy places the organism in Eukaryota, Metazoa, Chordata, Leptocardii, Amphioxiformes, Branchiostomatidae.
GCACGACCCCACCCACACCUGCGACCAGCCGUGUGUCCAGGGCUGCGUCUGCCCAGACAACAUGGUCCUCAUGGGUGACGAGUGUGUCAAGCCAGACAUGUGCACAGACUGCUUCUGCUAUGGCUAUGGUGAUCCUCACUACGUGAGCUUCGACGGCACCUACUAUCCAUUCCAGGGUAACUGCACAUACGUUCUGUCCAGGGACAUGACCACAAGAGCACAUGACUACGAGGUUCUGGUCCACAAUGUUGAGUGCCACUACCAGCAGCGCGGAACCUGCACCAAGGCUGUGACUGUCCGCCAUGGCUGGCCACGAGAUCACUCUGAUGAACGGCCGUGUUGCUAAGGUUGAUGGGGCCUACUCCUCUGUGGGCUACAACGCCCCAGUGACGACUCAGGGCAUGGAGGUGCGUCUGGCCGGUCUGCAGCUGGAGCUGAAGAUCCCAGCACUCAACAUCAUCGUCACCUUCAACGAGAUCAACCACGGCUUCAGCGUCCAGGUGCCAGUCUCCCGCUACUACGGCCGCACCGAGGGUCUCUGUGGUCCAUGUGACUACAACCAGAACAACGACUUGACCAUGCCUGACGGCACCAUCUCCAGCAUCCCUGAUGAGUUUGCCUUCAGCUGGCUUGAGCAGUUCCCAGGUGGUAUCCCAGAGGAACCAGGUACUCUGCCAUACGAGCCGUUCAGCGGCCCAGACGAGCCAGUGACCGGUACCCCUGAGGAGUACUGCCAGAUCCUGCCUGCCACCUUCCCACCCAACGGUGUCUGCGACGUGCCAACCGACCGCUGCGAGGUUAUCCGUGGACCACUGUUCGAGGACUGCAACCUGCUGAUCAACCCAGACACCUUCGUCGAGGCUUGUAUCUUUGACGUCUGCAACUCUGACCUGGACACUCCCGAGGACCAGGCCUGCGAUGCCAUCGCUGCCUACGCCCAGAUGUGUCUGAUGCAGGGCAUCUGUGUGGACUGGAGGGACGACGGCCUCUGCCCCAUCCACUGCCCAGCACCGAUGGAGUUCACAGAGUGCGGCACCGGCUGCCCGGCCACUUGUGACGACCCGACCGCCCAGAACUGUGACACCACCCUGCCUGGCUGCUACUGUCCUGACGGCAUGGUCCUGCACGACGGACAGUGUAUGGCUCCCGAGGAGUGCCCUGUGUGCUUCGAGAAGGACGGCACUGGAUACAUGCUUGGUGAGACCUGGAACCCAGCAGGUGACCUCUGCACAGUCUGCACCUGCGCAGCUGCCGACACCAUCACCUGCGCUGCCAAGACCUGCCCGACCUUCAGCACACCUGUCUGCGCUGACGGCUGGAAGCUGGACACUCAGCUGACCGCUGACAACUGCUGUAGCCAGGAGAUCUGCACACUGUGUCUGGAGUCUGACUGUCCGUUCCAGCCUACUCCACCAACCUGUGCUGACGGAGAGACUCUCAUGGAACUGCACUCUAGCGACUGCUGCAAGAACUACACUUGUGUCUGCGAGGCAUCCAAGUGCCCAACAGCCGUCAUCCCAAGCUGCGACGCCUCUCAGGGCAUGACUCUGGCCGUGGACAACUCACAGUGCUGUGCUCAGUACUCAUGUGAGUGCACAACAGCACCACCACCACCAACCUGCCAGCCGUUCUAUGAGGUCCAGGCUACAGGAGUCACAUCCUGCGGAUUCGCCAUCUAUGAAUGCAGACCACCAAGUGAGGGCUGUGUGCACCAGAACCAGCUGUACACGCUUGGUGAGAUGUGGGCUCCAGAUGUCUGCACAGUCUGCCGCUGCAGUGAGCAGGCCAACGCUAACGGAGAACACGAGGUCUUCUGUGAGACUCAGAGAUGCCCGACCGCCGACGACUGUCCUGCUGGCUUUGAGCUGGUGAUGAUUGGUGGCGAGUGCUGCGGUGAGUGCAGACAGACCCACUGCUCUGUCCAGAUGCCAGGAGAGGACCAGCCUCAGCUCUACGCUGUUGGAGAGACCUGGACCGUUGAGGGAUCUUGCCCACAGGAGGAGUGUGUGUGCAUGGAACAAUAUGGCCGCCCAUACACGACAUGCAGCACCACAACAUGCCCAGACAUCACAGGCUGCCCACAGGAGUUCAUUGCUAUGGAUGAGAAUGGAUGUUGCCAGAUCUGCCAGGAGACCAGCCACGGCUGCAGUGCUGUCCUGAAGGAAGGUCAUCCAACAAAACUCAAGGUCGGCAUCUGUGAAUCCAUCGUGGAGGUCAAUGUCACCGAGUGUGAAGGUCGCUGCGGCUCCUCAACAUCUGUGGUGUUCCCAGACGACUACUCACAGCCUCAUACAUACCAGGAGAACUGCAACUGCUGCAAGCCGACCAAGACCGAGCGCCGCCAGGUGGACAUGGUCUGCGAGGACUUCACGCAGGUCGUACACGAGUACGACGUGAUCCUGGAGUGCUCGUGCGAGGCCUCACAGUGCGUCCAGUGGUCUCAGCCAUAAUCACAACAUGGCCGCUACACUCCUUAACCACGCAGCACGACAAUCUCUAUCAUAGUUAACCUUAGUAAUUCCUCACCAUAGUUUCCCCUUCAUUGUCCUUUUCAAGAAUUCCAUAUAUUUGCAUUUUAAAAGCUAAGAAUCCUUCAUCGUGUUUUAAGCCCUACAAAUGUUCAUCACAACGACUUGCCUUUUGAGAGGCGGAAAAAAAAUAAGUUUUUUGUUGUAGAUAUUCAAACAGUGGUAGAUUUUAUGUUGAACUAUUUUGUGUUGGAAGUUGGCAAAAACCUGUAAUGUAGAGCAUAAGAACAAACUGUGUUCCCCAAAAAAAAGAAUUGGUGAGGAAAUAGAAUGAAUAUGAAUUUAUGCAAA